RNAcentral lists this ribosomal RNA (524 nucleotides) under uncultured Acaulospora. RNAcentral describes it as "SSU rRNA". It matches the Rfam family "Eukaryotic small subunit ribosomal RNA", at positions 569 to 1092 of the family's 1831-position model. The record is from RNAcentral. Lineage: Eukaryota; Fungi; Glomeromycota; Glomeromycetes; Diversisporales; Acaulosporaceae.
AGCAGCCGCGGUAAUUCCAGCUCCAAUAGCGUAUAUUAAAGUUGUUGCAGUUAAAAAGCUCGUAGUUGAAUUUCGGGGUUCAUACGUUGGUCGGGCUAUUUGGUCUGUACUUAUGUAAUGGAUUCCUACCUUCUGAAUAACCGGCAUGCCAUUAAUUUGGUGCGCCGGGGAAGCAGGACUGUUACCUUGAAAAAAUUAGAGUGCUUAAAGCAGGCUAUCGCCUGAAUACAUUAGCAUGGAAUAAUGAAAUAGGACGGCAUGGUUCUAUUUUGUUGGUUUCUAGGACCACCGUAAUGAUUAAUAGGGAUAGUUGGGGGCAUUAGUAUUCAAUUGUCAGAGGUGAAAUUCUUGGAUUUAUUGAAGACUAACUUCUGCGAAAGCAUUUGCCAAGGAUGUUUUCAUUAAUCAAGAACGAAAGUUAGGGGAUCGAAGACGAUCAGAUACCGUCGUAGUCUUAACCAUAAACUAUGCCGACUAGGGAUCGGACGAUGUUAAUUUUUUAAUGACUCGUUCGGCGCCUUACG